This is a non-coding RNA of Phrynosoma platyrhinos (Desert horned lizard), 72 nucleotides long. The record is from the annotation of a GenBank genome assembly. Lineage: Eukaryota; Metazoa; Chordata; Lepidosauria; Squamata; Phrynosomatidae.
GCCAACGUGGCAGAGUGGUUUGAGUGCUGAACUCGGACUCCGAGAGACCAGGGUUCAGAUCCCUUCUUGGCC